UACGUAGGGUGCAACGUUGUCCGGAAUUAUUGGGCGUAAGAGCUCGUAGGCGGUUUGUCGCGUCUGCUGUGAAAACUCGGGGCUUAACCCCGGGCCUGCAGUGGGUACGGGCAGACUAGAGUGGCGGUAGGGGAGACUGGAAUUCUUGGUGUAGCGGUGAAAUGCGUAGAUAUCAAGAGGAACAGCCUGAGGUGAAGAGGGUUGCUGGGACUGACACUGACGCUGAGGCGCGAAAGCCAGGGGAGCAAACGGG
RNAcentral lists this ribosomal RNA (253 nucleotides) under uncultured bacterium. RNAcentral describes it as "partial 16S ribosomal RNA". It matches the Rfam family "Bacterial small subunit ribosomal RNA", at positions 524 to 776 of the family's 1533-position model. The record is from RNAcentral.